AACUGAUACUACCUGCGGGAACCUGCGGAAGGAUCAUUACCGAGUUAUCAACUCCCAAACCCCUGUGAACAUACCCGAACGUUGCCUCGGCGGGACCGCCCCGGCGCCCCUAGCGGCCCGGAACCAGGCGCCCGCCGGAGGACCCAAACUCUUGCUUUAAACAGUGGCAUACUCUCUGAGUCUCACAAACAAAAAAUAAAUCAAAACUUUCAACAAUGGAUCUCUAGAUCGGAAGAGCAC
RNAcentral lists this unclassified non-coding RNA (240 nucleotides) under soil metagenome. RNAcentral's name for it is "partial contains 5.8S ribosomal RNA, internal transcribed spacer 2, and large subunit ribosomal RNA". The record is from RNAcentral.